This 1151-nucleotide small RNA is filed under the name Pongo abelii (Sumatran orangutan). RNAcentral's name for it is "retained intron". The record is from RNAcentral. Lineage: Eukaryota; Metazoa; Chordata; Mammalia; Primates; Hominidae.
CCGCUCCCGGCCCUGAGUUUCUUAAUAUAAUGUCUCCAGUGUUUGAACAACAGUUCUGUUUAAGAUAUCAUAAACUCAAAGAGUAAGCUGUGUGUGAGUAUCCACUAUAAAAUAUGAGUAGCAUUAGCUUACUACUGUAGAAAGUUUGCAUGUUGGCUGUUGCUGCUUGCUAAAGGUAUCCACAUUCGUAAGCAAGUAUUUAUAAUCAGGAAUACAACAUUCUUCGGGCACAGCAGUCAGGCACAAGCAGGUAGCAGAAAUUCGUUGCUGGCCUGGGCGCUCUGCUCUUUGGCACUGUCUUCAGAGGGUGGCCCCGCGGAGUAAUGCUCACAGCCAGUCUGGCUUUUCCCUCUGAGUUUGACAUGCGGCUAGCCUGUGCCCUGAGGUGACAUUCUGAUUUUUGAAGGUGACAGUCAUGGCGUCUAUGCGAAGGCCCAAGCGCAUCAUCAUCCGUGGCCACGACGAGAGGGAACACCCUUUCCUGGUGAAGGGUGGUGAGGACCUGCGGCAGGACCAGCGCGUAGAGCAGCUCUUCCAGGUCAUGAAUGGGAUCCUGGCCCAAGACUCCGCCUGCAGCCAGAGGGCCCUGCAGCUGAGGACCUAUAGCGUGGUGCCCAUGACCUCCAGGUUAGGAUUAAUUGAGUGGCUUGAAAAUACUGUUACCUUGAAGGACCUUCUUUUGAACACCAUGUCCCAAGAGGAGAAGGCGGCUUACCUGAGUGAUCCCAAGGCACCGCCAUGUGAAUAUAAAGAUUGGCUGACAAAAAUGUCAGGAAAACAUGAUGUCGGAGCUUACAUGCUAAUGUAUAAGGGCGCUAAUCGUACCGAAACAGUCACGUCUUUUAGAAAACGAGAAAGUAAAGUGCCUGCUGAUCUCUUAAAGUAAGUACCCUUCUGCCCUCACCCUUAGUGGGAUCACAGCAGCCGCACAGCUGUGUCUCUCUUGUAGGCGGGCCUUCGUGAGGAUGAGUACAAGCCCUGAGGCUUUCCUGGCGCUCCGCUCCCACUUCGCCAGCUCUCACGCUCUGAUAUGCAUCAGCCACUGGAUCCUCGGGAUUGGAGACAGACAUCUGAACAACUUUAUGGUGGCCAUGGAGACCGGCAGCAUGAUCGGGAUCGACUUUGGGCAUGCGUUUGGAUCCGCUACACAG